GUGUGCUUACAAGUAGUCAGAGCCCGUUAAUGGGUGAUGGCGUGCCUUUUGUAGAAUGAACCGGCGAGUUACGAUUUGAUGCAAGGUUAAGCAGUAAAUGUGGAGCCGUAGCGAAAGCGAGUCUGAAUAGGGCGUUUAGUAUUUGGUCGUAGACCCGAAACCAGGUGAUCUACCCUUGGUCAGGUUGAAGUUCAGGUAACACUGAAUGGAGGACCGAACCGACUUACGUUGAAAAGUGAGCGGAUGAACUGAGGGUAGCGGAGAAAUUCCAAUCGAACCUGGAGAUAGCUGGUUCUCUCCGAAAUAGCUUUAGGGCUAGCCUCAAGUGAUGAUUAUUGGAGGUAGAGCACUGUUUGGACGAGGGGCCCCUCUCGGGUUACCGAAUUCAGACAAACUCCGAAUGCCAAUUAAUUUAACUUGGGAGUCAGAACAUGGGUGAUAAGGUCCGUGUUCGAAAGGGAAACAGCCCAGACCACCAGCUAAGGUCCCAAAAUAUAUGUUAAGUGGAAAAGGAUGUGGCGUUGCCCAGACAACUAGGAUGUUGGCUUAGAAGCAGCCAUCAUUUAAAGAGUGCGUAAUAGCUCACUAGUCGAGUGACACUGCGCCGAAAAUGUACCGGGGCUAAACAUAUUACCGAAGCUGUGGAUUGUCCUUUGGACAAUGGUAGGAGAGCGUUCUAAGGGCGUUGAAGCAUGAUCGUAAGGACAUGUGGAGCGCUUAGAAGUGAGAAUGCCGGUGUGAGUAGCGAAAGACGGGUGAGAAUCCCGUCCACCGAUUGACUAAGGUUUCCAGAGGAAGGCUCGUCCGCUCUGGGUUAGUCGGGUCCUAAGCUGAGGCCGACAGGCGUAGGCGAUGGAUAACAGGUUGAUAUUCCUGUACCACCUAUAAUCGUUUUAAUCGAUGGGGGGACGCAGUAGGAUAGGCGAAGCGUGCGAUUGGAUUGCACGUCUAAGCAGUAAGGCUGAGUAUUAGGCAAAUCCGGUACUCAUUAAGGCUGAGCUGUGAUGGGGAGAAGACAUUGUGUCUUCGAGUCGUUGAUUUCACACUGCCGAGAAAAGCCUCUAGAUAGAAAAUAGGUGCCCGUACCGCAAACCGACACAGGUAGUCAAGAUGAGAAUUCUAAGGUGAGCGAGCGAACUCUCGUUAAGGAACUCGGCAAAAUGACCCCGUAACUUCGGGAGAAGGGGUGCUCUUUAGGGUUAACGCCCAGAAGAGCCGCAGUGAAUAGGCCCAAGCGACUGUUUAUCAAAAACACAGGUCUCUGCUAAACCGUAAGGUGAUGUAUAGGGGCUGACGCCUGCCCGGUGCUGGAAGGUUAAGAGGAGUGGUUAGCUUCUGCGAAGCUACGAAUCGAAGCCCCAGUAAACGGCGGCCGUAACUAUAACGGUCCUAAGGUAGCGAAAUUCCUUGUCGGGUAAGUUCCGACCCGCACGAAAGGCGUAACGAUUUGGGCACUGUCUCAACGAGAGACUCGGUGAAAUCAUAGUACCUGUGAAGAUGCAGGUUACCCGCGACAGGACGGAAAGACCCCGUGGAGCUUUACUGUAGCCUGAUAUUGAAAUUCGGCACAGCUUGUACAGGAUAGGUAGGAGCCUUUGAAACGUGAGCGCUAGCUUACGUGGAGGCGCUGGUGGGAUACUACCCUAGCUGUGUUGGCUUUCUAACCCGCACCACUUAUCGUGGUGGGAGACAGUGUCAGGCGGGCAGUUUGACUGGGGCGGUCGCCUCCUAAAAGGUAACGGAGGCGCUCAAAGGUUCCCUCAGAAUGGUUGGAAAUCAUUCAUAGAGUGUAAAGGCAUAAGGGAGCUUGACUGCGAGACCUACAAGUCGAGCAGGGUCGAAAGACGGACUUAGUGAUCCGGUGGUUCCGCAUGGAAGGGCCAUCGCUCAACGGAUAAAAGCUACCCCGGGGAUAACAGGCUUAUCUCCCCCAAGAGUUCACAUCGACGGGGAGGUUUGGCACCUCGAUGUCGGCUCAUCGCAUCCUGGGGCUGUAGUCGGUCCCAAGGGUUGGGCUGUUCGCCCAUUAAAGCGGUACGCGAGCUGGGUUCAGAACGUCGUGAGACAGUUCGGUCCCUAUCCGUCGUGGGCGUAGGAAAUUUGAGAGGAGCUGUCCUUAGUACGAGAGGACCGGGAUGGACAUACCUCUGGUGUACCAGUUGUCGUGCCAACGGCAUAGCUGGGUAGCUAUGUGUGGACGGGAUAAGUGCUGAAAGCAUCUAAGCAUGAAGCCCCCCUCAAGAUGAGAUUUCCCAACUUCGGUUAUAAGAUCCCUCAAAGAUGAUGAGGUUAAUAGGUUCGAGGUGGAAGCAUGGUGACAUGUGGAGCUGACGAAUACUAA
RNAcentral lists this ribosomal RNA (2341 nucleotides) under Staphylococcus aureus. Its description in RNAcentral is "partial 23S ribosomal RNA". It matches the Rfam family "Bacterial large subunit ribosomal RNA", at positions 558 to 2904 of the family's 2925-position model. The record is from RNAcentral. Lineage: Bacteria; Bacillati; Bacillota; Bacilli; Caryophanales; Staphylococcaceae.